Molecule: long non-coding RNA, 794 nt
Filed under: Equus caballus (horse)
Lineage: Eukaryota; Metazoa; Chordata; Mammalia; Perissodactyla; Equidae
Description: lncRNA (ENSECAG00000045073.1)
Source: RNAcentral
GUUGGGGUCCCAUCCCUCCAGGGUAGCAGAGACUCUUCCCAGCCCUUUCCCUUCUGCCAGGGUUGUGCACAGAGCAAGCAAUUGGGAAGAGUCCUUGUCGUUGGUCCCCGCUGGGCCCCAGUGACACAGCCGUUUCCAGGCCAGCAUGAACCCGGAGGGCAGCUGGUUCUGUUGCUUUCCUUCCAGAUUUGGGAAUGGGAGGGGACUCUGGCUGAGGCUCCUCAGACCCACCAAUAAGCCAGUUGUUCCCUCUCAGACCCUCUCCCCUGUCUGGCCCUGGAAAUUCCUCUGCUUCCUCUGUCUGCACUGUCUAGCUGUCUUGCUUCCCUCUCUGGGAGGGCCCGGCAUAAUGCAUCCAAAAAAACCAAGGGUAGAAGUUGUUUUCCUGUAACUUCUGCUUCAGGAAAUGGCUGGCUACCUUCCGAAGAGGGAGAGAAAAUUACUUUCAGAAUAAAAGACAAAUUAACAUCUCGCUCUAACCAGGCUUCGGAUUUGGAGCGGAGAUGAUGUACGGUCCUGUCUUUCAUUCUCUUCCCACUUCAGCACCUCUUUUGGAGUGGAGGUGGCGAGCUUCGUCUGGUUCGGGAGGGACCACCCCCUCCUCCUCCUUCUGAGCCUAUUCCAUCAGCGUUAAGACUGGCAGAGGAGACAGAGCCGCUGUUAGACCACAAGAUGCCUUCCUAAGAAUCGUCCCUUACUUGUAGAAAGCGCUCAAUAAAUAUGUGCAGAAUGAAUGAAUGAACAAGGACAUUUAAAAAUUAAUAAAUGAAUUUAUGAUCCUAUGGGCAAUGCGG